Molecule: long non-coding RNA, 1661 nt
Filed under: Danio rerio (zebrafish)
Lineage: Eukaryota; Metazoa; Chordata; Actinopteri; Cypriniformes; Danionidae
Description: lncRNA (ENSDARG00000097709.2)
Source: RNAcentral
CGUCUGUGUUUUAUAAAGCGAUAGUUGCGUGAAGAUGUAGGCCACGGCGUACACGCAGUUUUAUUAACCUCGGUUUUUGUUUUCAGCGUUCUGGCGUCGUGCGCUAUUAGCUACUGUAACUUAUGUUUCUACUCAAAUUAAACGAAACUCUUGGAAACUAACAUUGUUUACCUGCAAACAUUUAACGGAAAACAUGUGAGGAGGGAUGUUCAGUCGACAUUGAUGUUCCUCAGAAAAUUUACCAUCAAGGUCUAUUGCAAAUUCUUACCAAAUAUUGCCUUCCACACCAUCGUCCUGUCGACAAAUGAGGUCUACAAAUGUUUGUCAAGCCAAGCGAUAUAAUUCUGCACUGCAUUCACUCCCACAGAGAAGUAGCAGGGCCAGAAAGCAAAGCUUACACAGCCAUGAAAUCCAUCUUGAUAAUGGUCAUUAGUGACAGAGACGCCUGCCAGCUCCAACCUGCGGGCGUACAUCAUCCCAUCAUCCCUCAAAACAUCAUGCUCACCAGUCAUAAUAUAAGCACGUGGCGCCAUACGCAAAACCUCAUCCUCCGCAAGUAACGGAGAGGCUCUGGAAUCCAGUAAACCUGGAACAUCACUUAAGAUAUUGGGAGAUCCAGUCACUGGAAAAACAGGUUUAAAAUGUUUUCUUAUUUCUUUUGGUAGAAGAUUGGUCCAGUCCAGCUUUGCACGAUUCUGGGACAACAGAUUUUGGUCUUGGGCUGUGUGGUUGUUCAUCAUAAUAGAGUGUGCAAGUUCAGGGUCAGCGCCCAGGUACUCCAACCAGAAACGAGCCAUUAGUCUGCGGUAUAGGAUGGGGACAUUAUGGUUCUGCUGAUAGGAAGCUGUGUUGAAGUCGAGUGCCUGAAGGACUGGGUAAAUCAACACCUGCAGCUUGAAUUUUGCUGAGAGAAUCAUCACUUGCGUGUGCAACAAACCAGAGGUAUGACAACAGAGGAAGUACCAUUUUUUAAAAAGAGGUGCUCCCGGCAACCCGAGUUCGAUUCUUGGCUUGAGGUUCCUUGCCAUUUCUUGUUCCUCUCUCCCUGCUCCCAGUGCAUUCAUAUCUUCAGUCUCCACUGUCCUCUCAAUUAAAGGUGAAAAACCACAUGGCGAGCAAGAACAGAAUCAGCUGUAUGUCCUACAUGUUGUUUACAGGGCUGUUUGCAUGUUAUGGUAUGCUUAUUAAUCACAAUUUCAGCAGUACUCUACGCCUACCACAAGGGUGCUGCUGGCAGUGGAAACACAUGUCUGAUCAGAAUGAUACCAUAUUGCACUGCACUGAACCAUACUGUUCAGUGAAAAGGCAUUAAACACACCGCCACUGGACGUGUUGUCUGGACUGACAAAUCUUGCUUAUCUGUCUUGCAAUUUGAUGGACGAGGCUGAGUUUGCUGGUUCCCAGGAGAACGAUUAUUGCUUGCCUGCCAAAUGUAAGGUUUGAUGGAGGGGAUUAUGGUGUGGGGCUGUAUUUUAUGGGAUCCUUAGUUCCAGUGAAAGAAACUUUUAAUGCUUCAUCAUACCAAGACAUUCUGGCUAACUUAUGACCAUUAUAAAGUGUUUUAUCAGAUGCUAAAGAGAAGCAUCCAAUAUUGGGAAAUUUACGUGUGAAUGAAACCACGAUCAACCUUGAAUAACAAUGAAUUAUUUGUAGUGUUGGUC